This 601-nucleotide ribosomal RNA is filed under the name uncultured bacterium. Its description in RNAcentral is "bacterial SSU rRNA". It matches the Rfam family "Bacterial small subunit ribosomal RNA", at positions 163 to 752 of the family's 1533-position model. The record is from RNAcentral.
CUAAUACCGCAUAACAAUGGAUGACACAUGUCAUUUAUUUGAAAGGGGCAAUUGCUCCACUACAAGAUGGACCUGCGUUGUAUUAGCUAGUAGGUGAGGUAAUGGCUCACCUAGGCGACGAUACAUAGCCGACCUGAGAGGGUGAUCGGCCACACUGGGACUGAGACACGGCCCAGACUCCUACGGGAGGCAGCAGUAGGGAAUCUUCGGCAAUGGGGGCAACCCUGACCGAGCAACGCCGCGUGAGUGAAGAAGGUUUUCGGAUCGUAAAGCUCUGUUGUAAGUCAAGAACGAGUGUGAGAGUGGAAAGUUCACACUGUGACGGUAGCUUACCAGAAAGGGACGGCUAACUACGUGCCAGCAGCCGCGGUAAUACGUAGGUCCCGAGCGUUGUCCGGAUUUAUUGGGCGUAAAGCGAGCGCAGGCGGUUUGAUAAGUCUGAAGUUAAAGGCUGUGGCUCAACCAUAGUUCGCUUUGGAAACUGUCAAACUUGAGUGCAGAAGGGGAGAGUGGAAUUCCAUGUGUAGCGGUGAAAUGCGUAGAUAUAUGGAGGAACACCGGUGGCGAAAGCGGCUCUCUGGUCUGUAACUGACGCUGAGGC